GUCCACGCCGUAACGAUAAUCACUAGAUGUUAGUCCGGCUUAGCUGGAUUAGUGUCGUAGCUAACGCGUUAAGUGAUUCGCCUGGGGAGUACGGUCGCAAGGCUAAACUUAAAGAAUUGACGGGGUCCGCACAAGCGGUGGAACAUGUGGUUUAAUUCGACACUACGCGAGAAACCUUACCUGGGCUUGACAUGUACUCGACAGCUAUAGAAAUAUGGUCUUUUGGGUUUCGGCUCAAACGGGUACACAGGUGCUGCAUGGCUGUCGU
RNAcentral lists this ribosomal RNA (268 nucleotides) under uncultured bacterium. Its description in RNAcentral is "partial 16S ribosomal RNA". It matches the Rfam family "Bacterial small subunit ribosomal RNA", at positions 793 to 1055 of the family's 1533-position model. The record is from RNAcentral.